CUUAAAGAGAGUGACUGACCCAGGCUCAGAUCUGAAAAUGCAGGGACCACAGGGUACAAGAGUCCACCCCUUGGCAACUGCACCUGGGGGCCUGAGCCACACACCUGUCAGCUCCUGUUCAGGGCCAGGGCUUCUUAAGGAGAUUUUCUUGGGCUGGAGAGCUAAUGGGUGUGCUUGGAGGCCAGAGGAAGUCAGAGGGAUGCCCUUGAGAUGACACCCCACCAGCCACCACUUCCCGGAACCAAGAGAUGAGCCUCCGGGUGCGGAAGAGGUGGCCGCGGAAGGAGCAUGUUGCUUUCUGGCCAUGGAUAGAACCCCAAGGAUGAGAAUGUUCUCUCCAGGGGUCUGCACCCUGACAGCUCUCUCUCUACCCAUGACACUCCUGCACCCCAUCAGCCUUAACCCCUGGUGGCGAGAUGGUGGCUGCAGAGGCAGGACCAGCCCAGGACUGUUGGCCUCCAACCCCACGCUCUUUCCACGAUGCCAGCCUGCCUGCCUUUCUAAGCACUGUAGUUCCUUUCUGAGAGGUUUUGUGUCCACUACCUCUUGUUCCUGCAGCUCACAGCCAUGUGCCAACAGGCUGAGAAAGCCAGGGUUCGUGUGUCACAGUGCCUGUAGUCCUGGAGCUCACGGAGAUGCAAGGUGGCAGGUGGACGUGUCACGACCGUAAGCCCUUGAUUUUUCCCAAGGCUUUGCUGUGUCGGGGGCUAGGUGGCACCCCCUCCGAG
This is a long non-coding RNA of Manis pentadactyla (Chinese pangolin), 728 nucleotides long. RefSeq lists it as uncharacterized. The transcript is spliced from 3 exons. NCBI's taxonomy places the organism in Eukaryota, Metazoa, Chordata, Mammalia, Pholidota, Manidae. The record is from RefSeq and is a predicted model, not a curated record.